AGUGAACGCUGGCGGUAGGCCUAACACAUGCAAGUCGAACGGCAGCACAGUAAGAGCUUGCUCUUACGGGUGGCGAGUGGCGGACGGGUGAGGAAUACAUCGGAAUCUACUUUUUCGUGGGGGAUAACGUAGGGAAACUUACGCUAAUACCGCAUACGACCUACGGGUGAAAGCAGGGGAUCUUCGGACCUUGCGCGAUUGAAUGAGCCGAUGUCGGAUUAGCUAGUUGGCGGGGUAAAGGCCCACCAAGGCGACGAUCCGUAGCUGGUCUGAGAGGAUGAGUAGCCACACUGGAACUGAGACACGGUCCAGACUCCUACGGGAGGCAGCAGUGGGGAAUAUUGGACAAUGGGCGCAAGCCUGAUCCAGCCAUACCGCGUGGGUGAAGAAGGCCUUCGGGUUGUAAAGCCCUUUUGUCGGGAAAGAAAAGCAGCAGGUUAAUACCCCGCUGUUCUGACGGUACCCAAAGAAUAAGCACCGGCUAACUUCGUG
This 492-nucleotide ribosomal RNA is filed under the name uncultured bacterium. Its description in RNAcentral is "partial 16S ribosomal RNA". It matches the Rfam family "Bacterial small subunit ribosomal RNA", at positions 29 to 507 of the family's 1533-position model. The record is from RNAcentral.